GUUAUAUGUUGGUGCGCGUUUACUUGGACAAUGGUUUUCGAAUCAAGUAUGACAAAACCUUUGGCGCCUUUAUCCCAGUGGAAGAAAACUUCUUCAUCAACGUAUUUGCGUACAAUUCAAACAUUCUUCUCCAUUCCUAAAAUUACUGUCAACUUCAAGAUUUCCCAGCGAAUCACAGCAAUCUAUUUUCAAGCUUCACGGAAGCUGUUAUAUUUCCUACACAAAGCUCCUUUCACAGCUUUCCCAAACAAAGUCUUUGAACCCGGGUCUUCGAAUCCAAGCUCAUUUAACCAAAAUUGAAUUAUCAAAUGAUAGCAAACAUAAGAAACCACUUAAUUAGUUUUUAUUUAAAAUGUGGUACUUUUGACUAUGCAUGAAAACUGAUCGAUGAAAGUCCUGAACCAAUUUGGUUUCUUGGUCAUCUUUGAUAUCUGGAUAUACCCAGAAUAGUUUUAGUAACGAUUCUAUCUGGGCUUUCUUCAAAAAGCAUUCUUUGGGUCUUAAAUGUAAUGACUUCACUUUUCCUAAUGUGCUUAAGGCAUGUUCUACUGAGAAGGAACUUCUAUUAAGAAAGCAGCUUCAUGGGAUUGUUGUGGUGACAGGGUUUGAGUUUGAUGUUUUCAUCGCGAAUACUUUGGUUGUUAUGUAUGCAAAAUGUGGCGAGCUUUUUGAUUCUAGGUUGUUGUUUGAGGAAAUUCCGGAGAAAAAUGUUAUUUCUUGGAAUGCUUUGUUUUCUUGUUACCCACAAAAUGCUUUUUUCAGUGAGGCUAUGUGUAUGUUUCUUGACAUGAUUGAUAGAGAGGUGAUGCCUGGUGAGUAUAGUUUAUCCAAUAUACUGAAUGCUUGUACUGGUUUAGGAGACAUUGUUCAAGGGAAGAAAAUUCAUGGAUUUUGGUAAAGCUUGGUUAUGAUUCUGAUCCUUUCUCGUCUAAUGCUACUUGUCGACAUGUAUGCCAAAGGGGGAGAUAUUAAGGAUGCAAUUACAGUUUUUGAGGUAAUGCAAUAGCCUGACAUUGUUACAUGGAAUGCUAUUAUAGCUGGUUGUUUUCUUCAUGAAUGUCACCCGCAGGCUUUAGACAUGUUGAAUCAGCUGAGGAGGUCUGGAAUUUUCCCUAAUAUGUUCACUUUAUCAAGUGCUCUCAAGGCCUGUGCUGCAUUGGAGCUUCCAGAAUAUGGUAAAGGGUUACAUUCUCUUUUGAUAAAGAAAGAUAUCAUAUUGGAUCCAUUCAUGAGUGUUGGUCUUAUUGAUAUGUAUUGCAAGUGUGAUUUGACCAAGGAUGCGAGGUUGAUCUAUGAUCUGAUGCCCGAGAAGGAUUUAAUUGCAUUGAAUGCUAUUAUCUCUGGUUACCCACAGAAAGAGGAAGACGAGGAAUAUCUAGACCUUUUUGUUCAGAUGUACAAUCAAGGAAUUAGAUCUGAUCAGACGAGUUUACUUGCCGUCCUCAAGUGUGCUGCUUCUUGCAGGCUGCUUAUGUUUGCAAACAAGCACAUGCACUUUUAUGAAGUCAGGAUUUCAGUGUGACACAUUUGCCGUAAACAGUCUUGUUGAUUCUUAUGGAAAAUGUAGCCUGCUGGAUGACGCAACUACAAAUUUUGACGAGUUCCCUAUACCGGAUUUUCCAUCUUUUACCUCUCUUAUAACCGCUUAUGCUCUAUAUGGCCAGGGUGAAGAUGCUAUGAAACUCUACCUGAAGUUGCAAGAUAUGGGACUCAAGCCAGAUUCAUUUGUUUACAGUUCUCUCCUAAAUGCAUGUGCAAAUCUAUCAGCAUAUGAACAGGGGAAACAAAUACAUGCUCAUGUAUUGAAACAGGGGCACAUGCACCCUUCAUCAAAAAAUUUCGUCAAUAUGUAUGUAUAGAUAAUACGAAAAAUACAUAAUACUUGAUAUAAAUAUAAAAAAUGACACUGCAUAUCCUUAUAGUGAUUUAUUUAUUUGUUCACUUUUUCAAAUGUUGACACAGCUUACAAAAAUUCUUGCUUAUGCCAUUGUAUUAAAAUAUGUGCUCAUGUCAGAUGUAUUUGCUGGUAACUCCCUAGUGAACAUGUAUGCCAAAUGUGGAAGUAUAGAGGAUGCUAACCGUGCUUUCGUUGAGGUUCCUAAGAAAGGUAUUGUUUCAUGGUCGGCAAUGAUUGGAGGACUUGCCCAACAUGGACAUGCAAAAGGGGCGCUUCAUUUAUUUGGCGAGAUGCUGAAUGAUGGCGUAUUUCCCAAUCACAUAACAUUGGUUAGUGUCCUCUGUGCAUGUAACCAUGUUGGCUUAGUUGCAGAAGCCAAGAAGUAUUUUGACACAAUGACAGAUUCAUUGAUUUGGGACUGAACCAACUCAAGAGCAUUAUGCCUGCAUGAUCAAUGUCCUUGGGCGGGCAGGAAAACUAGAUGACGCUAUUAUUCUCAUAAAGAUGCCUUUUGAAGCUAAUUCAACUGUCUGGGGUGCUCUUCUGGGUGCUGCAGGAUUCCAUUUGAUUUUAGAGGUACCGCAAUGUGCUGCUGAGAUGCUUUUUUAUCUUGAACCAGAUAAAUCUGGCACUCAUGUUCUUCUUGCAAACAUUUAUGCAUCAAUUGGGUUGUGGGAAAAUGUUGCAAAAGUAAGAAGACUGAUGAAAGACAGUAAACUGAAAAAGGAACCUGGAGUUGGAUUGAGGUCAAAGAUAGUGUUUAUACAUUUAUAGUGGGAGGCGGAAGCCACUCUAGAAGUGAAAAUAUAUAUGCCAAAUUGGAGGAGUUGGGACAGUUAAUGACUAAAGCUGGUUAUGUUCCAAUGGUAGAGAUUGAUCUCCAUGAUGUGGAAAAGAGACAAAAAGAGAUCCUUUUCUCCCACCAUAGUGAGAAACUAGCUGUUGCAUUUGGGCUGAUUGUUACACCUCCUGGUGCUCCUAUUAGAGUGAAGAAGAACCUCCGGAUAUGUUUGGACUGCCAUACAGCUUGUUUCAAAUUCAUUUGUAAAAUUGUCUCUAGAGAGAUCAUUAUUAUAGUAUUAACCUAUUCUACCAUUUUAAGGACGGUUCUUGUUCAUGUGGUGAUUAUUCGUAGCACUUGAAGGAUUACCUCUUUCAUUUGGCUAGAAGACCCACUGAGCAAGUUUACACUUUCUAAUUCGCCUGGAGCUGAUAAGAGGCUGAUGGUGCAUGUCUCCACAAUCUCCAGUAUCAAAAUCAAUAACUAGUUCAACAGUUAGAUGCCAGAAACAUAAAUUGCAUGAUCUUGAAGGCAAAAGGAAAGAAUUAUGGGACAGUGAAGCUUCUUAUGAUUACUUCUUGAUUAAAUCGGAUCUGGAAUCAGCUAACUUCUUUACUCAUCCUAAUAGUCUGGUGUCUGAAUGGCUUAAAUAACCUAACUUGUGAUUUGCGUCGUUUUGAUGGUCUUCUAAGUGAUCUGAUUCUUCUUGGAGCAUGCAGUGUGGCAGAUCAAUUUGCUUUGCAAAUCUGGGAUCAUCUGGAUUAUUCCGGAGAUGCUAUCAUUCUUUUAAGGAAGGUUGAUGCUACGAUGAAAGAGGAGGCUAAUUAUCUCCGUUAAGUGAUUGAUGUUCUUUAUUUCAAACACAAAGAAUGGGCUGAUGCAAUUGAAGCUUAUAGUCAAAGCCAUUCAGUGCUUCAAUCUGAGUUAAAACGCCUUGAAGGUAGUUGCAACAUUUCUUUAUUUCAUGCGAGGACACAAUAUUUUGAGGUGUCCGUAUAUGAGAGCUCUAAAGUACAAUCAGUAUUCUGCUUAUAGUCAACAUUGAUAUCAAAUUAUAGAGACAUACUUAUGUGGCUGUUGGAAUUGGUAUGUAAUGUUUAUCUUCAACCAUGGUCUAUCUAUGAUGGCAUGGAAUUGAAAGCUAAGAGCUCCAAAUAGAAAACCUGUAUCAUCAGUUACCGUCCAGCCAACUUAUACAAAGAGUGCUGUGCCUGCUACAGAGUGGAAACCUGCUUCUGAGUCAAACUCAAUGUCCCAGGCAGAUGAAGGUUUAUGUCAAGAAGGGGAAUCAAAAUCUGUCUACCUGAGGAAUUUGCCAUAUCCAAUGUACUAGUCUAGAUUUUUUGCAAGAGUUUAAGAACUUUGGGAAGAAUAAGCAGAAUGGAGCAUUCUUGGAAAAGCGCAAAGUAGUUUUUUCCCGUUGUCAAUAUUAUAUGCUUCAAUUGUCUUACAUGCUCUAAUAUUUCGAUUGCAAUUGAUGGAUAGAAUAUCAGCAUUUGCUAUACCUUUGUUGAGUUUGAAUACCUCAGGGUUUCCAAAAUGCAAUUAAGGUAUGAAAUUUGAAAUCAUGAUUCAUUGAUUUGGUGUGUGUUUUCGUGGAGGAUUUGAGUUGCAUUUCUAGUUGUUGGUAAAAGCUGCUCUUAACUUUUUUUUUUUAACCUUCUGUCCUGUAAGAUUCCUAGCAGAUUGUUCACUCAAAUCUUAAUUUUAGCUAGCUUUCUAGUACUAAAUCGCAUUAGUAAGGUCCGUGCUUGAAAUAUUUCUGAUCACAUAGAUCGAUGAUCUUUUAUUUAAUGGUUGUGGAACUUGCAUUCAGUAGAUAAAACAUUUUCUGAAGCAAUAUGAUGCAGUUAGUUGUCUUGAGUAAUAGUUGUAAGUGGAAGGUGUACGUCCACGAAUUAUUGCCACAAUCUCAUAUUCAUACAUUACUUUGUUAUCUCAUCCCUUGUAUACCUAGUAUAUGAUGCUUUCUCUUCCCUGUUCUUAGGCAUUACCCGUACCAUUGACUGGAAGGCAAGUUUACAUUGAGGAAAGUAGAUCAAUCAGCUGUAGUGUUUCUCGUGGAGAUAGUCUGUAGCUUAAAAUUAAUUUCAAUUUCACAUUGUGGUACUUAUAUCUCUUUAUGCUUUUCUUAGAGAUUUGUUCUAUCUUUUGCUUGCUUGAGUAGUUCUUUGGUAGAAUCAAUUAACAUUAUCCUUGUAUGCAGGAUAUAAUCUCUUGGUCAUGACUUUUAAUCUCCACGUUCUUUAGUUAGACUGUGUAUGGAGAUUUCCUGUUUCAUUUGGACUAAUGCCCUAGUCACAGUUAAUGCUAAUUCCUCCCUACGAUGAUGGUACUACAAUCCAAGAUGAAAUACUGUUAUUUUUAUUGUUCAAUGCAGCUUGUCAGAAUGUCUUGAGCAAAGCUAAAUGGUAUGGUGGUGACAUCAAGCUGCUUCUUCAUAAUCCAUGUCCCCCAACUCUCCUGAUUGUAAUAUGGUAUUAAACAUGGGUAGUCAAUCAACCACGACAGCAGAAGUAAUACAGAAGUACUGUGCAUCAGUUUUAUUACUACCUUAGAGGCUUAAUUACAG
Nicotiana tabacum (common tobacco) is the source of this 5250-nucleotide non-coding RNA. The record is from RefSeq and is a predicted model, not a curated record. Lineage: Eukaryota; Viridiplantae; Streptophyta; Magnoliopsida; Solanales; Solanaceae.